GAUUAAGGUCUAUUGUCAAUUAAGCAUAAAACAUAGCGCUAGGUUUUCUUAAUGAUGAAGGUCUUCUAUUGUCAUUUAAGCAUAAAACAUAGCGCUAGGUUUUCUUAAUGAUGAAGGUCUUCUAUUGUCAUUUAAGCAUAAAACAUAGCGCUAGGUUUUCUUAAUGAUGAAGGUCUUCUAUUGUCAUUUAA
Molecule: long non-coding RNA, 191 nt
Organism: Alosa alosa (allis shad)
Lineage: Eukaryota; Metazoa; Chordata; Actinopteri; Clupeiformes; Clupeidae
Exons: 2
Source: RefSeq, a predicted model, not a curated record